GAACAAUUUGGAAUCAUAUCUUUUAUCAAACAUUAAUAAAAGUAGUUCUAACAAAUAAUAAAAAUAGGACUAAUUGAAAGUUAUGACGUGACUCACAAUUGAGUCUAAAUUUAAAAAUAAUAAUAAUCAACCGUUAAUAAAUAUUCUAGUGUUUCUAAAAAUUAAAGUACUUCAUGAUGGAGAUCCAUUGGUCCAAUAUGCAUCCAUCCACCGCCGUCCAGCAUACUAAUUUCUACCUGAAAAUUGUAAAUAGAGAGGGAUGAGUAUAACGAAUUAUACUCAAUGAGGUGCUUGCUACUCCACAUUCAAAUCAAACGUGAAAUUAUGCAUAAAUUCUCUUACCAACAUAACAUGAGAAUUAUCACACCAUGACAAAUGAUAAUUCAAGCAAGCGCUGCAAAUAACGUGAAGGCUAAAUUGUGCCUUAAACUGUAUCAUAAUUUCUCCCAAAGGAGCUCUGAACUGAAGUAAUUAAAUCCAUACAUAACAACGUAUUUGAAAAGAUGUGGACAAACCACUAAUAGCACUGAGCAUCUCACCUUUUGAAGAUGAACGUGGAAAACAAAAUUGCUGAAAACGUGAUUCUCUAUUGAAAUUCCAAAUCCUUAAAAAAGCCUUAAUAAUAUGGAGAAAUAUUUUUAAAGAGGAGGAGAGAAUAAAGACUUGUAGAAGAAGAAUGAGGAAUUAAU
Molecule: long non-coding RNA, 689 nt
Filed under: Olea europaea (common olive)
Lineage: Eukaryota; Viridiplantae; Streptophyta; Magnoliopsida; Lamiales; Oleaceae
Description: long non-coding RNA (OEUR_LNC010120)
Source: RNAcentral